RNAcentral lists this ribosomal RNA (433 nucleotides) under uncultured bacterium. Its description in RNAcentral is "partial 16S ribosomal RNA". It matches the Rfam family "Bacterial small subunit ribosomal RNA", at positions 29 to 507 of the family's 1533-position model. The record is from RNAcentral.
AACGAACGCUGGCGGCAUGCCUAACACAUGCAAGUCGAACGAGAACUUCGGGCCUAGUGGCGCACGGCUGCGUAACGCGUGGGAACCUGCCCUUAGGUUCGCAAUACCUCAGAGAAAUUUGAGCUAAUACCGGAUAAUGUCUUCGGACCAAAGAUCUCUCGCCUUUGGAUGGGCCCGCGUAGGAUUAGCUUGUUGGUGGGGUAAUGGCCUACCAACGGGAGGAUGCUUAGCUGGUAUGAGAGGAUGAGCAUCCACACUGGGACUAAGACACGGCCCAGACUCCUACGGGAGGGAGCAGAGGAGAAUAUUGGACAAGGGGCGAAGGCGUGAUCCAGCAAUGCCGCGUAAGUGAUGAAGGCCUUAGGGUUGUAAAGCUCUUUUACCAGGGAUGAUAAUGACGGUACCUGGAGAAUAAGCUCCGGCUAACUCCGUG